GAGAGGGAAAGAGAGAGGGAAAGAGAGAGGGAAAGAGAGAGGGAAAGAGAGAGGGAAUGAGAGAGGGAAAGAGAGAGGGUGAUAGAGAGGGAAAGAGAGAGGUAAAGAGAGAGGGUAAGAGAGAGGGAAAGUUAGAGGGAAAGAGAGAGGUAAAGAGAGAGAGAAAGGGAGAGGUAAAGAGAGAGGUAAAGAGAGAGGGAAAGAGAGAGGGUAAGAGAGAGGGCAAGAGAGAGGGAAAUAGAGAGGGAUAGAGAGAGGUAAAGAGAGAGUGAUAGAGAGAGGGAAAGAGAGAGGGAAAGAGACAGGGAUAGAGAGAGGGAAAGUGAGAGGUAAAUAGCGGGAAAGAGAGAGGGAGAGAGAGAGGGAAAGAGAGAGGGAUAGAGAGAGGGAUAGAGAGUGGGAAAGAGAGAGGUAAAGAGAGAGGGUAAGAGAGAGGGAAAGUUAGAGGGAAAGAGAGAGGGAAAGAGAGAGGUAAAGAGAGAGAGAAAGGGAGAGGUAAAGAGAGAGGUAAAGAGAGAGGGAAAGAGAGAGGGUAAGAGAGAGGGCAAGAGAGAGGGAAAUAGAGAGGGAUAGAGAGAGGUAAAGAGAGAGUGAUAGAGAGAGGGAAAGAGAGAGGGAAAGAGACAGGGAUAGAGAGAGGGAAAGUGAGAGGUAAAUAGCGGGAAAGAGAGAGGGAGAGAGAGAGGGAAAGAGAGAGGGAUAGAGAGAGGGAUAGAGAGUGGGAAAGAGAGAGGUAAAGAGAGAGGGUAAGAGAGAGGGUAAGAGAGAGGGAAAGAGAGAGGGUAAGAGAGUGGGAAAGAGAGAGGUAAAGAGAGAUGGAAAGAGAGAGGGAAAGAGAGAGGGAAAGAGAGAGGUAAAGAGAGAGGGAAAGAGAGAGGGAA
Long non-coding RNA from Oncorhynchus keta (chum salmon), 881 nucleotides. RefSeq lists it as uncharacterized. The record is from RefSeq and is a predicted model, not a curated record. The transcript has 4 exons. NCBI's taxonomy places the organism in Eukaryota, Metazoa, Chordata, Actinopteri, Salmoniformes, Salmonidae.